AUGUGCAUUAUUGAUCAGCCAAUCUUGAGAGAGAGAUGGGUUGGCGUGAAUGGGAAGAAAACUACAUUGAAUGGACAAGAAUUUCCAUCAGUUUCACUUUACAUUUCUUCUUUGCUUUUUCAUGGCAUCGGGAUGCCCACUGCCGACGGCGCUGCGUUGCUACCAAAGGGGCACCCUGCCGCGGCCGGGGACUCGCUGCCGUCGAAGCACGACACCUUGCCGUCACGUAUGUUGGGUGUUGUGGUGCUGCAGAUUUGGUAUUGUUGUUCUGUUCACUUAACCCAGUCUGUAGCAGCAGCUUUUCAUGUCGUUUCCUCGCCAACAAAUGUCAUAAUUUAUCACUCUAUGAAGAAUUGCAAGGAGGAGGAUAAUAGAGCAGCAACCAGAGCUGACAAUUGGACUGUAAAUGCAGCAAAGUUCUCCUAG
This 426-nucleotide ribosomal RNA is filed under the name Triticum aestivum (bread wheat). Its description in RNAcentral is "partial small subunit ribosomal RNA". Lineage: Eukaryota; Viridiplantae; Streptophyta; Magnoliopsida; Poales; Poaceae. The record is from RNAcentral.